Molecule: ribosomal RNA, 1333 nt
Filed under: uncultured bacterium
Lineage: Bacteria
Description: bacterial SSU rRNA
Rfam family: Bacterial small subunit ribosomal RNA
Source: RNAcentral
GACGAACGCUGGCGGCGCGCUUAACACAUGCAAGUCGAACGAGAGAAGAGAAGCUUGCUUUUCUGAUCUAGUGGCGGACGGGUGAGUAACACGUGAGCAAUCUGCCUUUCAGAGGGGGAUACCGAUUGGAAACGAUCGUUAAUACCGCAUAACAUAAUUGAACCGCAUGAUUUGAUUAUCAAAGAUUUAUCGCUGAAAGAUGAGCUCGCGUCUGAUUAGCUAGUUGGUAAGGUAACGGCUUACCAAGGCGACGAUCAGUAGCCGGACUGAGAGGUUGAUCGGCCACAUUGGGACUGAGACACGGCCCAGACUCCUACGGGAGGCAGCAGUGGGGAAUAUUGCACAAUGGAGGAAACUCUGAUGCAGCGAUGCCGCGUGAGGGAAGAAGGUUUUAGGAUUGUAAACCUCUGUCUUCAGGGACGAAAAAAGACGGUACCUGAGGAGGAAGCUCCGGCUAACUACGUGCCAGCAGCCGCGGUAAUACGUAGGGAGCGAGCGUUGUCCGGAAUUACUGGGUGUAAAGGGAGCGUAGGCGGGAUCGCAAGUCAGAUGUGAAAACUAUGGGCUUAACCCAUAAACUGCAUUUGAAACUGUGGUUCUUGAGUGAAGUAGAGGUAAGCGGAAUUCCUAGUGUAGCGGUGAAAUGCGUAGAUAUUAGGAGGAACAUCAGUGGCGAAGGCGGCUUACUGGGCUUUAACUGACGCUGAGGCUCGAAAGCGUGGGGAGCAAACAGGAUUAGAUACCCUGGUAGUCCACGCCGUAAACGAUGAUUACUAGGUGUGGGGGGACUGACCCCUUCCGUGCCGCAGCAAACGCAAUAAGUAAUCCACCUGGGGAGUACGACCGCAAGGUUGAAACUCAAAGGAAUUGACGGGGGCCCGCACAAGCAGUGGAGUAUGUGGAUUAAUUCGAAGCAACGCGAAGAACCUUACCAGGUCUUGACAUCGUAUGCAUAGCUCAGAGAUGAGUGAAAUCUCUUCGGAGACAUAUAGACAGGUGGUGCAUGGUUGUCGUCAGCUCGUGUCGUGAGAUGUUGGGUUAAGUCCCGCAACGAGCGCAACCCUUACUGUUAGUUGCUACGCAAGAGCACUCUAGCAGGACUGCCGUUGACAAAACGGAGGAAGGUGGGGAUGACGUCAAAUCAUCAUGCCCCUUAUGACCUGGGCCUCACACGUACUACAAUGGCUGUCAACAGAGGGAUGCAAAGCCGCGAGGUGGAGCGAACCCCUAAAAGCAGUCUUAGUUCGGAUUGUAGGCUGCAACCCGCCUACAUGAAGUCGGAAUUGCUAGUAAUCGCAGAUCAGCAUGCUGCGGUGAAUACGUUCCCGGGCCU